CGCUAUGCCAGGCCGGCUUUUGCUGGUCGCCGGCUUCUUAGAGGGAUAUCAGCAUCUAGCUGAUGGAAGUUUGAGGCAAUAACAGGUCUGUGAUGCCCUUAGAUGUUCUGGGCCGCACGCGCGCUACACUGACAGAGCCAGCGAGUUUAUAACCUUGGCCGGAAGGUCUGGGUAAUCUUGUGAAACUCUGUCGUGCUGGGGAUAGAGCAUUGCAAUUCUUGCUCUUCAACGAGGAAUUCCUAGUAAGCGUGAGUCAUCAGCUCGCGUUGAUUACGUCCCUGCCCUUUGUACACACCGCCCGUCGCUACUACCAUGGGAAUGGCAAA
Molecule: ribosomal RNA, 326 nt
Filed under: fungal sp.
Lineage: Eukaryota; Fungi
Description: SSU rRNA
Rfam family: Eukaryotic small subunit ribosomal RNA
Source: RNAcentral